RNAcentral lists this long non-coding RNA (1204 nucleotides) under Serinus canaria (Common canary). Its description in RNAcentral is "lncRNA (ENSSCAG00000013716.1)". Lineage: Eukaryota; Metazoa; Chordata; Aves; Passeriformes; Fringillidae. The record is from RNAcentral.
AGGCGGGGCUGAGGCCCGCAGAGCUGCCUGGUGCCGCUGCCUUCUUUUGUCUCUACCCAUAUGUUGGGCACACAGUGGUACAGCCAGGGACGGCCGGCGGGGUGGGGGGGGAAAUGCCGGUGCCUCUCGCACAUGCGCCGACGGGUCCCUGACGCGGAAGUCUGUUGGAGGGAGCGGGUCCCGGGGCCGAGCCGGGCCCGUCCCGGGCUGCCGCUCCCGCUGUGCCGGGACCUGCUUCGCCGAGGAGGGCUAUUCAAUAUCUUUCACUUGUCCUGGUUGCUGCCAGCGCAGUGUGCCGGGGCCAGGCCGGUUGUGCGCGCUCGGGAGCUCUCCCUGGAGGCCGGGCGGCUCUGGGGGGCUCCGGUGCGGUGCAGGCUUGUAGAUGUUCGUCCUCGGUUCCCUCAGUGCGAACAAAAGCCGUGUACGUGUUUGACGUACUCAGGGUUCUCCUGGCCUGCGGUGAACACCAGCAGCUGCGUGAGGACGCGAGGCUGUGGGCUGGCCGCAGCCGGGAGAAGGCAGGCCGCGCCGGCCCCGUUCUCUGGGACCUGCAAGAGGUGGGGAGUCACACCUCCAGAGAGCCCCAGGAGUUUCACACUCUGCCUGUCACAUCAAGUUGAUGGCAAGAUACAAGCAGGAAAAGUUGGAGGAGGUGGGGGCCCUGACCAGCUUAGUGCUCCCCAGGCCAGAACAGGCCUUGAAUAGAUACUGAAGAGGAGGCAAAUUGGUGAGGGGCUGCUGGAGAAUCCUGUCCUGCCUCUUGAAGUAACAUACCUGGGGCAGUGUGCUCUACUCUCCUCUCCCUGGGCUGAAAACACUGAGAUCUGAAGGAGUCUUCACCCGAAGGGCAGAACUGCUGCUGCAGUUUGGAGGAGCUGGAGUAUUUGCCCAAGAGUGAGGAAAUAGUGCUUGUUGAAGGUAAGGAGAAUGCUGAGGCUUUGAAUUUUCCUUAGAAACUCAGCAGGGGAUUUCUGUACCCCCCUCUGUCAAGCUGCAAAGUAUUUCACUCUAGCAGACUACUGCUAAAGCCCGGAUGCCACAUUUUGUUUCAGUCAGUUGAGAAAUUUGAGGAGAACCUAGACAGCAAAGAAACAGACAAGAAAUCCAAGCAGCAAGCCAUGAAAUGAUGGUUUCCAGGGGACCAAGGGAGUUAGAACUCACAGUCUGGAAGUGAAGCAUUAUUUAGGGAGAUGCUUCUGACAAG